RNAcentral lists this ribosomal RNA (253 nucleotides) under uncultured bacterium. Its description in RNAcentral is "partial 16S ribosomal RNA". It matches the Rfam family "Bacterial small subunit ribosomal RNA", at positions 524 to 776 of the family's 1533-position model. The record is from RNAcentral.
UACGGGGGGGGCGAGCGUUGUCCGAAGUUACUGGGCGUAAAGCGCGUGUAGGCGGGUUGUUAAGUCCGCUGUGAAAGCCCGGUGCUCAACGCCGGAGGGUCGGUGGAUACUGGCAGUCUUGAAGUGGCUAGGGGGAAAUGGAAUUACCGGUGUAGCGGUGAAAUGCGUAGAUAUCGGUAGGAACACCAGUGGCGAAGGCGGUUUCCUGGAGCUAACUUGACGCUGAGACGCGAAAGCUAGGGGAGCAAACGGG